Molecule: small RNA, 146 nt
Filed under: uncultured Blautia sp.
Lineage: Bacteria; Bacillati; Bacillota; Clostridia; Lachnospirales; Lachnospiraceae
Description: Clostridiales-1 RNA
Rfam family: Clostridiales-1 RNA
Source: RNAcentral
GAUACCAGGGUCAAAAGGUCAUGUGUUUCAUGCUUGCAUGAAAAAACAUGACUUUGGGACCCGCAAAAACAUGAGAAAGUAGCCCGAUUAGGGCGUAUUUCGAAUGUUUUAAGGAUUUCGGGAGCACAAAGUGCGGAGAAAUCCGU